RNAcentral lists this ribosomal RNA (433 nucleotides) under uncultured bacterium. Its description in RNAcentral is "partial 16S ribosomal RNA". It matches the Rfam family "Bacterial small subunit ribosomal RNA", at positions 29 to 507 of the family's 1533-position model. The record is from RNAcentral.
AGCGAACGCUGGCGGCAGGCCUAACACAUGCAAGUCGAACGGAUCCUUCGGGAUUAGUGGCGGACGGGUGAGUAACACGUGUGAACGUGCCCUUUGGUUCGGAACAACUCAGGGAAACUUGAGCUAAUACCGGAUGUGCCCUUCGGGGGAAAGAUUUAUCGCCAUUGGAGCGGCCCGCGUCUGAUUAGCUAGUUGGUGAGGUAACGGCCCACCAAGGCGACGAUCAGUAGCUGGUCUGAGAGGAUGAUCAGCCACACUGGGACUGAGACACGGCCCAGACUCCUACGGGAGGCAGCAGUGGGGAAUCUUGCGCAAUGGGCGAAAGCCUGACGCAGCCAUGCCGCGUGAAUGAUGAAGGUCUUAGGAUUGUAAAAUUCUUUCAGCGGGGACGAUAAUGACGGUACCCGCAGAAGAAGCUCCGGCUAACUUCGUG